GUGUGUGUGUGUGUGUGUGUGUGUGUGUGUGUGUGUGUGUGUGUGCGUGCGUGCGUGCGUGCGUGCAUGUGUGUGUCUGUGUGUAUUUACCUAGUUAUGUUUUAUAGGAAAAGAGCUAUGCUCAUGCUGUCCUCUCUAUAUACCUAUAGUGGUCCAGUUUAGCCUCAAAGUCAUGAAUAUUUAUUGCUUGAACUACUGUUUCACCAAAACUGUUCCAUAUUUCUAUGCUUCUGUUUGGUUAAUUAUGUUUUGUAAUGUCUCUCCUAUAUGUUUUUUUUUUUUUUUUUCAUGCCGUGUCCCCUUGUAUUUCUUGAGUCUCACACCACUAAGUCUUCUUGGUCAAUUGUGUCCAUCCUCUUCCAUGCACUGUAUAUAGCAGUUAGGUCUCCUCUUUCUCUGCUCUGUGUAUUUACUUAGUUAUAUUAACCUGGUUGUGAAAUACAGGAUAGGCCACAAUAUACUAUGUCCAUACUGUCCCAUCUCCAUAUUGACUAUUAUCUAAAUUUUCUUUUAACCCUUUUAGUAUUGGCAUGCAUUUUUUACUAAGAGUUUUGGCUAUGAUUAGACCAUUUUACUGACAUUAGGAAGGGCCUAAAGAGGUCAGAAGUUUCAUGGCCAGUCUUCACUAUUUUAAUCCUCACAUAAGUUUCUGUGGCUGUAUAAAAUCACCAAAUAGUAAGCAGAAUGAAUAUGGAAAUGCUUCAUGGUACUGAAGGAGUUAAAUUCAUCAAGAAAUUCAUUCCAUACUAUUACUAUAUAUACUUCUAUAAGGAUAACUAUGUUUCUUGAUGUCUCUCCAGCAAAUACCCCUUUUCAAUUUAUUUUCAUAUCAUCUGGUACCUCUCAUAUCUGGUAUCAACUUCUCUGUCUCUUCCAAUAUCCUACAUAAUAAAUCAAAUCACCUCUUUUCCUUCAUAAGUAUACCAUCUUUGGUUUGUGGGGAUUUUAGUUGCAGCCCUCUGAAUUCUUUCUAGCUUCCUCAUAAACUUCUUCUAACUUGGUGAUUAAUGCUGAAUACUCCAAUCUUGGAUGUGUUCUUUUUGUCAUAUUUUCAUCAAUAUAGGUGAGUGAAGUCAUAUUUUCCUGCUUCUCAGCAUAUCAUAUGUUUCUCCAAUGAUUUUAUUAAUGUAUUUCUCAAAUAACAGUUUAUUAGAAAUGGAUACUCUCAGAUUUUCUUCUAUUCUUAUAAAAAUUUCUUCAUUUCCCAAAUAGUAAUUGCCUUCUGUUCUCAACAUCUUAAUGAGCAUCAUCAUCAGAGAUUCCUGUAGCUUGUUACACCUUCCUUUCUAUUGUCUACAUAUUUGUAUGUAUUGCAAACAAAACUGGCACUAGAACCAAUCCUUGUGAAACUCCACUACUCGCCCAAGUGACUGCACCUAAUUGCCACUCCAUUUCAACUUAUUGCUCCUGAAUAGUCCUCUUUUCUCUGUCCCUCAAAAAGUCAGUCAUCUAUUUUAAUAGUGAUCUUUCCAAUCCUCCAAUAUUUUCUAAUUUCCAUAUUAAUAAUUUGUACAGUACUUUAUCACUUUUUUUUUUCUUUUUGUCCAAUUAUACAUAUGCAGGCAGCACAAUGUCUAUUACUUAUGAGUUGAAGCUUAUCAGAUUUGUUACACAAGAUCUUCCUUCUCUGAAUCCAAAUUGCCUCUCAGUAAGUAUAUUGUUUGCCAGAUAUUUCACCCACCUGUUUUUGAUGAUCAUUUACAAAUCAAAUUUUUACUAUGACACUUGUCAGCAAUACUCACUGAUCUUUAGUUUAUAUAGCUUAGUCUAUAGUUAUUUGUACCAAAGUUUUUUUUUUCCAACACUUUGUUUGCCCUUGGCCAGUGCCCUUGUAAUGUAAAAAAAAAAAACUAGAAAUGCUUCUAAAGAUGUGAUCUACAACUUGAGCAUAAUAGUAUUGUGUAGUGUAAGAGUUCUCAACUUGGGGUUUGUGAACCCCCAGAGUUUCACAAGAUUUCCAAAAGUACUUUGAUGGCUGAUCCAAUAAUAUCCUUUGCAGUACCAUUGCAUAUUGAGUUAGUGUCAGUCACUAAAUUAACAUUCUGUUUGAUGGCAGCUUUCUCGGGUGGGGCUUCGGGUAAAUGGUUUUAUAACUUAAGGGAUUCUUAACAAGAAAAGGUUGAAAACCCCCACUGUAUUGUAUUAAACUACACUCUAACCUGUGGGGAUUUUGUUUACUAGACUACACUCUAACCUGUGGGGAUUUUGUUUACUAGACUACACUCUAACCUGUGGGGAUUUUGUUUACUAGAGACAAUAAAAGUACUCACCAAUUAUGAAGUGCUUCCAACAGACCCUCAAGAUUUCAGCACCUGCCACUCAGACUCCGGAGACCUCACCCACAGUACCCAGUAACCACAGUCAGACGUCCAUGAACAUUGGAGUGCCUCCGGUGUACGCUUGUACCUUUUAGGCCGUAUUCAGAAAAGCCUUCUUUUCUCAUUAUAAUUUUCCAAGACCACAGAUACAACAAGCUGGACUUUCAAGACAGUUUCUCCUUUAAAUAAACCAAGAAUCUUGCCAAUAUAUCACCAAAACCAUAAAAAUACUCUUCAAGACACAAGCAUCUUGAACUGGAGCCUCUGGAAAUCACGGAUGGUGAGAGAGCAGUGUUUAAGAAUACGUGCCUUUGUCUUGCGGCUUCAGUAUCAGGUACAAGCUGAAGGACGUUCGUUCACCCCCGGAACUCGGGGUCGGCGCAUGCUGUGCUUGAAGAUGUCGGAAGUGGGCCGGCUAUCUGAAGGUAGCCGAAGAGUUACCAUGGAGGAAUUAGCCUCUACCUCUCACCCCGUGGUCGGCAGAGCAGUGGAGGUCAUGAUGUCUCAGCCUCAGAAGUUUAAUGGAACUGCUAAUGACUUUAUAGAUUGGUUCAAAGGCAAAAAAUUUGAAAAGGUUGUACUUCCUGGCAACAAGACAUGGAUCCCAAAGCAACCCUCAUCAGAAGAGUAUUUCCUACCUCCUGUGGCAGAAUCAGUUCGACAAGAACAGGGAAAGGCAUAUGCGCUCCAUUACCAAGAAGAGUUCCUUCGUGAUGUGGAGAUAAGUAUUGAACAGCGGAUCAGAAAACGGACUCAUGCAGUUUCUAAAACUUUGAAUGAUGAUGACUCUGUAUCUGAAGGAAAUACUGGAGAUGCUGGGAAGGCACAUGUUUUCCUACAUUAUGACUUUACUACCAAAAGACGAGAAUCAUCACUACCAAUUUUCAGUGUCGAAAAAGAAAUACUGGAGAAAAUUACCUACUAUCAAGUGGUUGUUAUUGAGGGAGAAACUGGAUGUGGCAAAUCAACUCAGGUUCCCCAGUUUAUUCUUGAUGAAGCUGCAGACAAACAUCAGUAUUGCAAUAUUAUUGUCACUCAACCUCGCAGGAUUGCUGCAACAUCCUUGGCACGUAGAGUGUGUAAAGAAAGAGGCUGGCAGCUUGGAAAGCUUGUUGGGUACCAGGUUGGAUUGGACUCUUGUAAAGAUAAAGACACCCGUCUUCUUUAUGUAACUACCGAGACUUUGGUGCAGAAACUUGUCCAUCAACGCAAGCUUGAUGCCUUUACACACAUCAUUCUUGAUGAAGUACAUGAAAGAGACCACCAUACUGAUUUUGCCCUGCUGAUCAUCAAGAAGCUCAUGCACACAGUUUCUCCUUCUGUUAAGAUCAUACUGAUGUCAGCCACAAUCAAUGCUUCCAAGUUUGCUCAGUAUUUUGCCACUCCAGUCCUGGGCACCCUUCUUCCUGCACCUGUUGUGUCUGCAGGAGAUGAAACUGUGCAUGCUGUGCAGACAUACUAUUUGGACUCUCUUUUUAAUAUGUGCCAAAAAAAGCCUGAUGUGUUGCCUUGCCUUCCCACAAUUGAUCCUGAUAAUCCAGGAGUGUCAGAAGAAAUGUUUAAGCUUGCCGUUGAGAUGGUGAAGUGUUUUGAUGAUUUAGAGAGACAAGAACAUGAAAUCAGCUCCAAAGAAUUCUUCCAAAAUAGAGGAGCAGUCCUUGUGUUUCUUCCAGGUUUGGCAGAAAUUGAGCAGCUUGUGAAUAUGUUGGCUAAAGAAGCUUCAAAAUAUCAGUGGCAGCUCUACCCCCUACAUUCGACCAUUACUAAAGAAGAACAGCAAAAUGUCUUCCUUGUACCCCCGCCCGGUUUUCGGAAAAUCAUAAUUUCUACAAAUAUUGCUGAGAGUUCUAUAACAGUACAAGACAUAAAAUAUGUGAUUGAUUUCUGCCUAACUAAAGUGCUGACUUGUGAUGAGAUAACCAACUACACUUCAUUGAAGCUUGCCUGGACAUCCAAAGCUUCAUGCAAACAGAGAGCAGGGAGGUGUGGGCGAGUGUCCUCAGGCAGAGUAUACUGCCUAGUUCCUAAACAAUUUUAUGAGACUUUGCCAGACUAUGCCUCACCGGAGAUGUGCCACACUCCUCUUACCCAGGUGAUACUGAAGGCCAAAGUGCUUGACAUGGGUGAGCCUCAUUCCAUCUUAGCUUUGGCUCUGGAUCCUCCUGACAUGGGUGACAUUUGUCGUACAAUCUUGAUUCUGAAGCAGAUGGGAGCUUUAUCGGUCACAGCAAGUGGAUGCAGAUCUCAUCUUGAUGGUGAUAUGACAUACUUAGGGAAGGUCAUAGUUCACCUGCCAAUAGAUCCAUAUCUGGCAAAGUUGAUUGUAAUGGGUCACAUCAUGGGUUGCCUCAGAGAGUGUAUUAUCAUUGCUGCAAGCUUGUCUUUGAAACCCUUCCAUGCUCGACCUUUCCAAGAUGAACUCAAUGCCUUCCUCUCCAAAGUAUCUUGGGCAUAUGGAUCUUUCUCAGACUGUCUGGCUGUUCUCAAUACCUAUGAUGUUUGGCAGGGUAUGCAGAGCAGAGGUGAAUUUCUUCUACCUGGUGGCAAGGCUGAAAAAGAAUGGGCAAAGCAUAGCUAUGUACAACUGAGCACUCUUCAAGAUGUGCACAAGCUAGUGGAAGAGCUUACAGAACGUCUCAAGAAGCUGAAAAUUGUUGUUCAGGCCCAUCGCAGCACUCCAAGAAAGGAUCAAACGCUUAUAUUGAAGAUGUGUAUGGCUGCAGCUUUCUUCCCAAAUUACUACAGAAGAACUGUGCCUGAAGAUUAUCAGCGCGAGGUGUGUAGAGAGCUCAGGGGAAAUGAUCCCUUCAGAACAGUUAUUCUCAGAGGCCUUCCUGCAGCAACAAAUAUCAUCUAUGAUCAACAGAUUAGAAAUUUAUUUAAAGAAUGCUCUCAGAAUCUUGUCAUCAGCUAUGAAGGAGCUAAGGCAUACAUUCAAUUCCCAAAUCUGGAUGGUUCUCGUGUGAAAGAGGAACACUUCCAGAGCAUUCCUGGAAGCUGUCCCACUACCAUGCAUCUAGCUUUGAAGAUGAAACAGGUGCCAAGGAUCAACCAAAACUUAUACAUAACUCUGAUAAGUCCAGAGGAAUCUGAACAGCAACUUCAAGGAAUUCUGGGUCACAGCAGUGACCAAUACAGUACUACUCAACUAUUGGGUUCUGAGAGCUCAAAGGCUCCAAGACAAACCCUAGGAAACCUUGCUGUUAGAGUCACACAGCCAACCAGCAAUUGCCUGAAGCCCCCAGAGUUACCCCAUGCUGCAAACCACACUUGGGAUAUUUAUGUUACCCAUGUGGUUUCAGCUGGACACUUUUGGGUAAUUUCAAGUGAGAGCAGCAACCUCAAUAACCUGAAGUAUAUGGAGGAAAUCAUCAUGGCUUCAGUACAGGAAUUCACUCCAGUAUUACUUCCUGUGGUAACUCCUGGAUUUGUCUGUCUUGCUCCAUUUACAGAUGUUCAAGGGAUGCAAGCUUACUAUAGAGCCAGACUAGAGGAUGUAUUUCCUUCACAUGAUAAAAAACUCAAGACAAUGGUUUUCUUUGUGGAUUAUGGAAAUAGUGAAAUUGUAGAUGCUUCAGAUUUAAGACUCCUGCCGAAAAGACUUCGAGAAAUAAAGAUGUUGGCAGUGGAAUGUAUGCUGGCAGAGGUGAAACCAAUUGCUAAAUAUUCAGAUGGAUCAUGGAGUCCAGAUGCUACUAAAUGGCUUCAAAAGUAUGCUCUCAAUAAGAAAUUCACUGUUCAGAUAUAUAGUGUUGUAAAUGGAGUGCUUCGAGUGAAACUGCUAGGAAGGGAAAAUGGCAAGUUUAUCUCUAUCAAUCAAAAACUUAUCUCUAUGGGACAUGCUGUCAAGGCAGAGGAAUUCUAUCUGUCAAAGCAAAAUCAUGAACUGAGAGCAAUAUACAGCAGUGAAAUAGAGGUCCCAGAACAUGAUGAAAAUAUUAAUACAUCAGCUCUUUCAUCUUACUCAUUCAACCAAUCAAGCUCUGAUUUAGAAUGUUCUACAAAGGUAAAACUCAGAGGCCCUGACUCUCCUCUGCUUUUAAGGUUUGUUGCCCUGACACCGAGUGCAAGCUCUAAGUUAGUGAGAGUGGAAACUUCUUCAGUAAACUCAACAGCCCUUGAUCUCGAGCCACAAAAUCCCCAUGAAAGACUUCUUAUUGCUGGGAAUGUGACUUUGAACCAAUCAGCUUCCACAGCAACCCUUCACAAUACGACCCUCAUGCCUUCUAUCCCAGGAAUGCUGCCAAUAUGUAUCCUCUUGUUCUGUCCAGUGGCAGAAAUGAGAGUAAACAGGACAGGAUCCCAUUACACUGGUGUACUGGUUGGUUUAGGAUGUGAUGAAAGAACAGGCCAGGUGAUUUAUCCUGCUGAUGAUAUUGAAGUUGCAUUUGAUAUUGACAUCACACAAGAAGAUCUGAUGUUGAUAAACAAGAUUAGAUUUUUGCUCAAUGUUGUGCUGGAGGAGGCUGAGUAUAUAUCAGGAGCUACUUUAAUCUCAACCCAAAAGAAUCUACACAAACUUAUCCUCAGGUCAGUGAGCUCAUUUUGACCUGGAAGUUGUAGUUCUGGAGACUUUAAGGCGAUCGUUCGGUGAGGUUUUUGAAAAAUCGAAAAUAAAGAGGUUACUGGAUGAGAAAAGGGGAUACAAAGAACCAGAGCCAUAUCAUUUUCCUUAUCGCUGGAACAAG
This 7006-nucleotide unclassified non-coding RNA is filed under the name Portunus trituberculatus (swimming crab). RNAcentral describes it as "aTP-dependent RNA helicase TDRD9-like, transcript variant X3". The record is from RNAcentral. Lineage: Eukaryota; Metazoa; Arthropoda; Malacostraca; Decapoda; Portunidae.